Molecule: ribosomal RNA, 1131 nt
Filed under: Leptolyngbya sp. UMPCCC 1204
Lineage: Bacteria; Bacillati; Cyanobacteriota; Cyanophyceae; Leptolyngbyales; Leptolyngbyaceae
Description: bacterial SSU rRNA
Rfam family: Bacterial small subunit ribosomal RNA
Source: RNAcentral
GGGGAAUUUUCCGCAAUGGGCGCAAGCCUGACGGAGCAAGACCGCGUGAGGGAGGAAGGCUCUUGGGUUGUAAACCUCUUUUAUCAGGGAAGAAGAUCUGACGGUACCUGAUGAAUCAGCAUCGGCUAACUCCGUGCCAGCAGCCGCGGUAAUACGGAGGAUGCAAGCGUUAUCCGGAUUUAUUGGGCGUAAAGCGUCCGCAGGUGGUUUUACAAGUCUGCUGUUAAAGCGCGAGGCUUAACCUCGUACAGGCAGUGGAAACUGUGAGACUAGAGUAUGGUAGGGGUAGCGGGAAUUCCCAGUGUAGCGGUGAAAUGCGUAGAUAUUGGGAAGAACACCAGCGGCGAAAGCGCGCUACUGGGCCAUUACUGACACUCAUGGACGAAAGCUAGGGGAGCGAAAGGGAUUAGAUACCCCUGUAGUCCUAGCUGUAAACGAUGGAUACUAGGUGUUGCCCGUAUCGACCCGGGCAGUGCCGUAGCUAACGCGUUAAGUAUCCCGCCUGGGGAGUAUGCACGCAAGUGUGAAACUCAAAGGAAUUGACGGGGGCCCGCACAAGCGGUGGAGUAUGUGGUUUAAUUCGAUGCAACGCGAAGAACCUUACCAGGGCUUGACAUGUCGCGAAUCUUGAUGAAAGUUGAGAGUGCCUUCGGGAGCGCGAACACAGGUGGUGCAUGGCUGUCGUCAGCUCGUGUCGUGAGAUGUUGGGUUAAGUCCCGCAACGAGCGCAACCCUCGUUUUUAGUUGCCAGCAUUUAGUUGGGCACUCUAGAGAGACUGCCGGUGACAAACCGGAGGAAGGUGGGGAUGACGUCAAGUCAGCAUGCCCCUUACGUCCUGGGCUACACACGUACUACAAUGCUACGGACAAAGGGUUGCGAGCUAGCGAUAGCAAGCUAAUCCCAUAAACCGUGGCUCAGUUCAGAUUGCAGGCUGCAACUCGCCUGCAUGAAGGAGGAAUCGCUAGUAAUCCCAGGUCAGCAUACUGGGGUGAAUACGUUCCCGGGCCUUGUACACACCGCCCGUCACACCAUGGGAGUUGGCCACGCCCGAAGUCGUUACUCCAACCGCUUGCGGAGGAGGAUGCCGAAGGCAGGGCUGAUGACUGGGGUGAAGUCGUAACAAGGUAACC